AUGGCGACGGACAUGUUGACCAUAUACCUGCACUAUGAAGUUACAAAUCAGGAAGCCAAAAUGUUACAAAGAUCCAUGAUGAGGCGUGAUGUCUUGUAUUAUGACUUAAUCUUGAUGAUCGAGGAAGUUGGCUUUCAGGCAAUUAACUUUCUGUACUAUGCGAAAAAACCCUGUCUAGGCAGCUCCUACUUAGUUCACAUUUAUGAUCAAGGUCUUGUGUUGAAAAUGUUGUCCGACCCUGAGAUUGUGAAAGCUGUCCAUCUGUAUGUGUCUAAGGAGAAGGUUGACGAUCAUAUUGCUCCGCCUAGUAAGCAAAUUCAUAUUGGUCCAUCUAACCAUCCGAAUGAGAGUGUUCUCUUACAACACGGUGGUGUCUCUGCUGAAGGGGCAGGGAAACUUACUAUGGGAAUGCCGCAAAGUAUCCCUCUUGAACCAUGCUUAUUACAUAUCUGUAUCUACUGUUGUAAUUAUUGGAAUAAAAGAUGUAUGGUCGUUCUGCAGGACCAUGAUGUCAACCAAUUACAAAUUCAACAGAAUUCAUCAUCAUCACAAGACCAUGUUAUUGAUUCUGUGCCAGAGGUGAGGGAAACCAGGGAUCUUACAGGUGAAUCUGUUUCAAGAACGAACCAGCAGGGGACUAGAACUGAACACCCACACCCAGCUCGCUCAAAAAGAAAGCGUACUUCUUCCAUCAAGACUUCAACAUAUCCCAACAAGCGGAAUGUUGCAUAUGGUACUAUUCGGAGUACUAAUCCAAGAACUAAGGUUGGUGGUAUUGAGUUAGGUGCUGAAUUUGCCCUUGUGCGCAUAGAUCAACCUAUUCUUGAUAAUGAGGAGCUGGUAAGGGAAGUUUCUAAUUGCAAGACAAUUGGUGAGGCUUUCAAUUCAGGAUACUUAAUUGCCUGGCCUUCAGCUUUUAUUCGAGAGAAGGAUAGUUGA
This 939-nucleotide ribosomal RNA is filed under the name Triticum aestivum (bread wheat). RNAcentral's name for it is "partial small subunit ribosomal RNA". Lineage: Eukaryota; Viridiplantae; Streptophyta; Magnoliopsida; Poales; Poaceae. The record is from RNAcentral.